RNAcentral lists this ribosomal RNA (1638 nucleotides) under metagenome. Its description in RNAcentral is "SSU rRNA". It matches the Rfam family "Eukaryotic small subunit ribosomal RNA", at positions 222 to 1801 of the family's 1831-position model. The record is from RNAcentral.
CUGGCUGGCGCGGGUCAAACCGCGCCUCGUUGGUGAUUCAUGGUAACCAAUUCGGAUCUCUGUCGCAAGACGGAGACGACUCAUUCAAAUUUCUGCCCUAUCAGCUUUCGACGGUAGUGUCGUGGACUACCGUGGCGGUAACGGGUGACGGGGAAUUAGGGUUCGGUUCCGGAGAGCGGGCCUGAGAGACGGCCAGCACAUCCAAGGAAGGCAGCAGGCGCGCAAAUUACCCAAUGCUGAUUCGGCGAGGUAGUGACAAGGAGUGGUGACGAUUUGUUCCGUAAGGGAUGAAUUGAUCGCGAUGAGGGGCAGUUAAAUCUCGUGCCCGAAAGCAACUUCAGGGCAAGUCUGGUGCCAGCAGCCGCGGUAAUUCCAGCUGAAGUAGCGUAUAUUAAAUUUGUUGCAGUUAAAAAGCUCGUAGUUGGAUUUCAGGCUGUGGGUUGGCUGCGGGCGCGGGUGGGGUUUCCCCAGUCGUGUUUCCGUGGUCCCCUGGCCUUUUGUGGGGUGGGUGGAGGUCAAACUCUGCCCGCUUUCCCACCAGUUACUUUGAGAAAAUUAGAGUGCUCCAGGCAGGCUUCACCGCCACUACAUACUCGAGCAUGGGAUAGCGUCCUCGGAACUUUUGGUUCUUUGGCCGGUUCUUAUCUUUAACCAAAAUUCAUGAUUGAUAGGGGUGGUCGGGGGUGCUCGAAUUCCGAGAGCAGAGGUGAAAUUCUUGACCCUCGGAAGUCGGACGACAGCGAAAGCAUUCACCAAGGACACUUUCUUUAAUCAAGAGCGAAAGUAGGGGGAUCGAAGACGAUCAGAUACCGUCGUAGUCUCUGCUAUAAACGUUGUGCGUUGGAGGGCGGUGGGUGGGUUGGAGUGUGCGGGGAAACCCGUGCGCUCCUCUUCCUCCACCACAAUCCUGUGGAAAACCAAAACGCACUCCGGGGGGAGUAUCGUCGCAAGGCAGAAACUUAAAGGCUUUGACGGAAGGAAACACCAGGAGUGGAGCCUGCGGCUUAAAUUGACCCAACACGGGAAAACUUACCAGGUCCGGACAUUUUGAGGAUUGACAACCUGAAGCGUUUUCAAGAUUAAGUGGAGGGUGGUGCAUGGCCGUUCGUGGUUGGUGUUGUGGGAUGUCUGGUUGAUUCCGUUAACGAGCGAGACGAGGGGGGUGGUCAGUGGGUGGCGACAUCUGCCGACGAUUUAACUAGGUGGGCGCGGCCGUCAGGCCGUGGCCAGCCUUCUUAGCCCGACAAGCGCCGACUAGGCGCUGGAGGUUCCUCGCAAUAACAGGUCCGUGAUGCCCUUAGAUGUUCUGGGCCGCACGCGCGCUACACUGGUGUGUGUAAUGGGUUUUACAAGUUGGGCGGGCCGCGAGGUCCGUCCAUCAGCGCGGUCGAGAGGCCCCGCAAAUCCUUCAAUCCACACCGUGCUGGGGACAGAGCAUUGCAAUUAUUGCUCUCGAACGAGGAAUUCCUAGUAAACGUACGUCAUCAGCGUACAUUGAUUAAGUCCCUUUCCUUUGUACACACCGCCCGUCGCUGUAACCGAUUGGAGGAUUGGGUGAGUUGUGGGGAGGUGGGACUUGUGCCUGUCGAACCACACCAAACUUACUCCUCUAGAGGAUGCAAAAGUCGUAACAAGGUA